CCUUGGUUAGUCGCCGACCCUGAAUGUCUAAUUUCCUUGUUCUGUACGUGUGAACGUGGCCUUCUUGAACUGCAAUCGAACUGAGAAUGUUUUUCGACAUUGCAUUCACAUUCAAUUUCGAUUGGUGCAAAUGCAACCCACAGUACUGCAGUGUAGGCUACUUACCUGAAAGAAGUCAACAUUGUGCACAAAGAGAUAAGCUUGUUUCAUGUCUCAUCCCAACCAAGAUGGUGCAGUAAGGUACUCAAGAAGCAAGUGAACCAGAAGAAAACUGUCAAGAGGACUACUAUACACCAACAAAUUAUCUGCUUCUCUCUCCGCAAUGGACUUAAUACUUGCUGGAUGAACAUGACGAAUCCCCCACUUGCCAGGCAUUCACCAGGCUGUCUGAAGUCCCCACCUGCUCUCCAUCCCUAGAUGAUGAUAUCGCAAUCGGCUGAUUUCCUUUUCAUAUUUUACCUAGAGAAAUCAUGGAUCAAGGGUCGUGCAUGGAUUAGAUAAGAGGAGAAAAAGAGACACUCAUACAGCAAACAACCACAUGAAGCCCCAGCAUGCCUCCUCCAACACCUGCAGCUCCUACACUAGAGGGUGCAGCAAGCCCAUCAGUAACCCCUCCUUAAGUAAUCGCUCAGAACCCUCCCCGCUUCGCUCAGAUGUAGCUUUUCAGAUUUUUCAGGAAUGGUGACGAGAAUGGGAUGAUACUUAGUCAUGGUGGAUAUGCCCAAGUUACCCAGAGAGAAACAAUUAAUCCAGAUAAUGUGUUAUGCCUUGAAGACAUAAAGGAUUCUAGACAUACAUCUAGAUACUGGAAUAAAUGUCAACAAAUUCUUGGAUGCCCUUGAAGAACACGUAAAGAACCUUCACAACGAGAAUCUACAUCGUAGAGAGCUGCUUACCUGCAAACAGUAUGAGAAUUUUUCACUUUUGCAAAAGAACAUUGCAGAAGUAGAAGUCUGUACUGGUAGAUCUUAAUUUUGUGAGCAUACCCAGAUGAUCAUCCUCAUGGAAGUCAGGAAUAAAGAACUGACUGAGAAACUCAGCUCUCAACACCGCCUCUCUACAGGAUUUUAUUAGCACGUCACACCUAUAACUUCACGAGGAAGGCCACUUCUGCAAUUUGUUCUUUGCCCUCUUAAAUUACAGAAAGCAGAAGAAACAUGUAAAAGGUGCCACACCCUCUGACAGGGAUGUCACGACAAGUGCUGCAGGAAAACCAGGGAUGCCAAACAGGGUGAAACCUCCAGUGCCAAGCCUACAACACUUUCUCUGGGCCAGAACCUCAGCUUUCGUCACAUUGGAAGACCCUCUUCUAUUAAGACGCCUCAACCAAUCUGUUUCCCUCUCGUAUGGUGAUGUCACAUCCAGGAUUCAGAUGUUGCAAGACACAAGUGCCAACAUCUCUGUUGUGGGCCCUCAGCAUCUUGACUUUGCAUAGUCCUAGGAGUGCACUACAACCCCCACCAGUCACCCUGAUGUUUACUGCAGAUAGCUCUAUGAUGACACCUGCCUUAGGAUCUGUCAUAGCCACUCUCACCUUAGCCAAGAGAUCCUGUUCAGCGAUGAAGUCCAUGACGGCAUUCAAAUACCACUGCUGUCAUACAGCCACUGCAAGGAGUUGUCCAUUAUACAGCCAAAGUUCCCCAGAUCUGUACUGGAUAUUAAUCAUGUCAAUAGGUGUUCAGAGCUGCCUCUGCAUGCCACCACCUCACUUGACGAACCAGAAGAAAACUAACAAGAGGACUACCAUACACCAACAAGUUAUCCGCUUCUCUCUCCUCAAUGGACUUUAUUUGCUAGUAAGUACAGCGUAUCAAAUGUGUAAGUGGUGCUAACGAACAAACUAGUGCCAGUAUUUCACGCACUACACUCGAGUAUUUGUGUUAAAUUCUGUUUUAAGCCUGUGAAGUAGGGGGAAGGAGGUUAAACAGAACCUUGUUCCCAAUGAAUAUUUUACCACUGGACUUAAAAUACUGUGGGGGUAAACCGAACAUUUUUCACAAUGGAUUCUCCACUUUCUCAGGAUGAACAUGACAACAUCCCACUCGCCCUGCAUUCACCAGACUGUCUACAGUCCCCACCUGCUCUCUAUGCCCAGAUGAUGACAUCCCAAUCAGCUGAUUUCCUUUUAUUCAUAUUUUACCCAGAGAAAUUACGGAUCGAGGGUCAUGCCAGGCUCAGACAAGAGGAGGAAAGGAGACAAAAAGAAAAGGAGAGGACGAAAAAAGGAAGAAUUACGGUUUAACGACAGAAAGGACGACAAAAUUCGCAACAGGAAGCCGACCGCUACAGCACCUUUCUGUAAAUGCUAGCCCUUUAGUACAGCAAGCUACCACAGGAAGCCCCAGCCUGCCUCCUGGAGUGCCUACCUUGCCACCAGAGAGUGCAGCGACCCCGUCAGUACCCCUCCUUAAUAAGCAAUCUCUCAGAACCCACCCCCAUUCGCUCAGAUGUAGCUUUUCUGAUUUUUCAGGAAUGGCGACGACAAUGGGAUGAUAUUUAGUGCUGGUGGAUCUGCCCAAGUU
Molecule: long non-coding RNA, 2522 nt
Organism: Macrobrachium nipponense
Lineage: Eukaryota; Metazoa; Arthropoda; Malacostraca; Decapoda; Palaemonidae
Exons: 3
Source: RefSeq, a predicted model, not a curated record